Non-coding RNA from Balaenoptera ricei (Rice's whale), 73 nucleotides. The record is from the annotation of a RefSeq genome assembly. NCBI's taxonomy places the organism in Eukaryota, Metazoa, Chordata, Mammalia, Artiodactyla, Balaenopteridae.
UCCCUGGUGGUUCAGUGGGUAAGACUCUGUGUUUACAAUGCAGGGGGCCCAGGUUUGAUCCCUGGCCAGGGAA